Molecule: ribosomal RNA, 445 nt
Filed under: uncultured bacterium
Lineage: Bacteria
Description: partial 16S ribosomal RNA
Rfam family: Bacterial small subunit ribosomal RNA
Source: RNAcentral
ACCAGACUCCUACGGGAGGCAGCAGUGGGGGAUAUUGCACAAUGGGGGGAACCCUGACGCAGCGACGCCGCGUGGGUGAAGAAGCGCCUCGGCGCGUAAAGCCCUGUCAGCAGGGAAGAAAAUGACGGUACCUGAAGAAGAAGCCCCGGCUAACUACGUGCCAGCAGCCGCGGUAAUACGUAGGGGGCAAGCGUUAUCCGGAUUUACUGGGUGUAAAGGGGGCGCAGACGGCGAUGCAAGCCAGGAGUGAAAGCCCGGGGCCCAACCCCGGGACUGCUCUUGGAACUGCGUGGCUGGAGUGCAGGAGGGGCAGGCGGAAUUCCUGGUGUAGCGGUGAAAUGCGUAGAUAUCAGGAGGAACACCGGUGGCGAAGGCGGCCUGCUGGACUGCAACUGACGUUGAGGCCCGAAAGCGUGGGGAGCAAACAGGAUUAGAUACCCGCGUA